AAAAUUAUUGAGCAUUUACUGUAGCAUUUACCAUAUUACUGUAGCAACAUGAUGGUGGAGUUUUUAUUGUUAUAUUUGUUGGGAUUGGACUGGCUUGUUUUACGUUAGCAUUUGAAUACAGGUAGCAUAAGUAUAAAACAAGCUCAAAAGUUGCAAAUACGAUGAAUCAAAAACAAAUGGUAAUAGAUAGAGGAGAAUUCACUUAUCCAAUCAUACCUAAUUACGAAUCAUCUGGAAUGAGAUCAAGAAACAUUAUCCAAGGUUUGAGACGAUCUAUUGGUCAAUCUACACCCAAACAGCAAUAAUGGAUUCUUCAACAAUUGCAUUUACUUCAUAAAAUUAAAUUAAUUACAUCAAGUAUCAAAUUUAUAGUAAUUAAAUAAUAAAUAAUA
Molecule: long non-coding RNA, 392 nt
Organism: Sipha flava (yellow sugarcane aphid)
Lineage: Eukaryota; Metazoa; Arthropoda; Insecta; Hemiptera; Aphididae
Exons: 3
Source: RefSeq, a predicted model, not a curated record